RNAcentral lists this ribosomal RNA (1017 nucleotides) under uncultured bacterium. RNAcentral describes it as "bacterial SSU rRNA". It matches the Rfam family "Bacterial small subunit ribosomal RNA", at positions 355 to 1375 of the family's 1533-position model. The record is from RNAcentral.
UGAGGAAUAUUGGUCAAUGGACGAGAGUCUGAACCAGCCAAGUAGCGUGAAGGAUGACUGCCCUAUGGGUUGUAAACUUCUUUUAUAUGGGAAUAAAGUAUUCCACGUGUGGGAUUUUGUAUGUACCAUAUGAAUAAGGAUCGGCUAACUCCGUGCCAGCAGCCGCGGUAAUACGGAGGAUCCGAGCGUUAUCCGGAUUUAUUGGGUUUAAAGGGAGCGUAGGUGGAUUGUUAAGUCAGUUGUGAAAGUUUGCGGCUCAACCGUAAAAUUGCAGUUGAAACUGGCAGUCUUGAGUACAGUAGAGGUGGGCGGAAUUCGUGGUGUAGCGGUGAAAUGCUUAGAUAUCACGAAGAACUCCGAUUGCGAAGGCAGCUCACUAGACUGCAACUGACACUGAUGCUCGAAAGUGUGGGUAUCAAACAGGAUUAGAUACCCUGGUAGUCCACACAGUAAACGAUGAAUACUCGCUGUUUGCGAUAUACAGUAAGCGGCCAAGCGAAAGCAUUAAGUAUUCCACCUGGGGAGUACGCCGGCAACGGUGAAACUCAAAGGAAUUGACGGGGGCCCGCACAAGCGGAGGAACAUGUGGUUUAAUUCGAUGAUACGCGAGGAACCUUACCCGGGCUUAAAUUGCAUUUGAAUAAUCUGGAAACAGGUUAGCCGCAAGGCAAAUGUGAAGGUGCUGCAUGGUUGUCGUCAGCUCGUGCCGUGAGGUGUCGGCUUAAGUGCCAUAACGAGCGCAACCCUUAUCUUUAGUUACUAACAGGUCAUGCUGAGGACUCUAGAGAGACUGCCGUCGUAAGAUGUGAGGAAGGUGGGGAUGACGUCAAAUCAGCACGGCCCUUACGUCCGGGGCUACACACGUGUUACAAUGGGGGGUACAGAAGGCAGCUACCUGGCGACCGGAUGCCAAUCCCGAAAGCCUCUCUCAGUUCGGACUGGAGUCUGCAACCCGACUCCACGAAGCUGGAUUCGCUAGUAAUCGCGCAUCAGCCACGGCGCGGUGAAUACGUUCCC